This 63-nucleotide transfer RNA is filed under the name Coleoptera sp. 22 KM-2017. RNAcentral's name for it is "tRNA-Ile". Lineage: Eukaryota; Metazoa; Arthropoda; Insecta; Coleoptera. The record is from RNAcentral.
AAUAAAGUGCCUGAUAAAAGGGUUAUCUUGAUAGGAUAAAUAAUAUAUAACAUAUCUUUAUUA